RNAcentral lists this ribosomal RNA (303 nucleotides) under uncultured bacterium. RNAcentral describes it as "partial 16S ribosomal RNA". It matches the Rfam family "Bacterial small subunit ribosomal RNA", at positions 507 to 807 of the family's 1533-position model. The record is from RNAcentral.
AGCAGUAGCCGCGGGAAUACGAAGGGUGCAAGCGUUACUCGGAAUUACUGGGCGUAAAGCGUGCGUAGGUGGUGGUUUAAGUCCGUUGUGAAAGCCCUGGGCUCAACCUGGGAAUUGCAGUGGAUACUGGGUCACUAGAGUGUGGUAGAGGAUAGUGGAAUUUCCGGUGUAGCAGUGAAAUGCGUAGAGAUCGGAAGGAACAUCUGUGGCGAAGGCGACUAUCUGGGCCAACACUGACACUGAGGCACGAAAGCGUGGGGAGCAAACAGGAUUAGAUACCCGAGUAGUCCCUGUCUCUUAUAC